AAGGUGGAGCGCUUCUGUCGCGGCAGCAAUGCUGAGGAAAGUCCGGACAGGAAAGGGCGGUCCGCUGCGGAAAUCGCAGAAGGGAGUAAUCUUUUGGAUACCGUAACAGAAAACGACCGGAUCCGCAAGGAUCCAAGGGUGAAAACGCGAGGCAAGAGCUCACGACGUGCGACGGCGACGCCGUGCGGGUACGGUCCCGGAACCUGCAAAACCAAAUAUACUGGCAGAUGAGGGCUGCCCGCCCGAUGCCAGGGGGUAGGUUGCGAAGAUAAAUGACAGAUCAGAACAGAAACCGGCUUACGGCUCCACCUUUUUU
Molecule: RNase P RNA, 316 nt
Filed under: Bacteroidia bacterium
Lineage: Bacteria; Pseudomonadati; Bacteroidota; Bacteroidia
Description: RNase P RNA component class A
Rfam family: Bacterial RNase P class A
About the family: Ribonuclease P (RNase P) is a ubiquitous endoribonuclease, found in archaea, bacteria and eukarya as well as chloroplasts and mitochondria. Its best characterised activity is the generation of mature 5'-ends of tRNAs by cleaving the 5'-leader elements of precursor-tRNAs.
Source: RNAcentral